Molecule: ribosomal RNA, 497 nt
Filed under: uncultured bacterium
Lineage: Bacteria
Description: partial 16S ribosomal RNA
Rfam family: Bacterial small subunit ribosomal RNA
Source: RNAcentral
GAUGAACGCUGGCGGCGUGCCUAAUACAUGCAAGUCGAGCGAACAGACGAGGAGCUUGCUCCUCUGACGUUAGCGGCGGACGGGUGAGUAACACGUGGAUAACCUACCUAUCAGACUGGGAUAACUUCGGGAAACCGGAUCUAAUACCGGAUAAUAUAUUGAACCGCAUGGUUCAAUAGUGAAAGACGGUUUUGCUGUCACUUAUAGAUGGAUCCGCGCCGCAUUAGCUAGUUGGUAAGGUAACGGCUUACCAAGGCAACGAUGCGUAGCCGACCUGAGAGGGGGAUAGGCCACACUGGAACUGGAACACGGUCAAGACGACUGCGGGAGGCAGCAGUAGGGAAUCUGACGCAAUGGGCGAAAGCUUGACGGAGCAACGGCGCGUGAGUGAUGAAGAUCUUCGGAUCGUAAAACUCUGUUAUGAGGGAAGAACAAAUGUGGAAGGAAAUAUGCACGGAGUGACGGUACCUAAUAAGAAAGCAACGGCUAACUACGUG